Molecule: long non-coding RNA, 810 nt
Organism: Esox lucius (northern pike)
Lineage: Eukaryota; Metazoa; Chordata; Actinopteri; Esociformes; Esocidae
Source: Ensembl
AGUUUUAUUACAAUAUUAAAUAUUUUUUUUUAACUGGUUAAUAUCAAAGUGCACUGAAAUCAUUGUAGUGUCUCCCAUGACAACUCUUCAUUUAUGAUAUAUAAAACACAGAUUUACAAAAUACUAUGGCUAAUACAUUUUAUGCAACAAGAAACACCCUUUUCUAGAUCAUCAUUUGCAUGUCAGAGUUUUUGAAUACCACAAGAGAGAAGCUCUGCAUUGGGGAAACUUCUGAUUUCCUCUUUUCACAGGUUUAUUAAGCUACAAUCAACGACAGAACAACACAGAGAGGAGAGAACGUGACCGAAGGGAACACGUGAACUGACGAGAACAUAACUUAGGGCAUUUUCAGACAUAUUUAAACAGUACCGUCACACGGAACACACUAAGAUGAAAGCCCAUUGUGGCUUCCUGAACAGGUGGAGGCUGGAGGCUUGGGUUCAUGAACAGGUGGAGGCUGGGGGGUUGGGUUCAUGAACAGGUGGAGGCUGGAGGGUUGGGUUCAUGAACAGGUGGAGGCUGGAGGGUUGGGUUCAUGAACAGGUGGAGGCUGGGGGGUUGGGUUCAUGAACAGGUGGAGGCUGGAGGGUUGGGUUCAUGAACAGGUGGAGGCUGGAGGGUUGGGUUCAUGAACAGGUGGAGGCUGGGGGGUUGGGUUCAUGAACAGGUGGAGGCUGGAGGGUUGGGUUCAUGAACAGGUGGAGGCUGGAGGGUUGGGUUCAUGAACAGGUGGAGGCUGGGGGGUUGGGUUCAUGAACAGGUGGGGGCUGGAGGGUUGGGUUCAUGAACAGGUGGGGGCUGGAGGGUUGG